UAAGACAGAGGCCACAAGCGUUAGGCGGAAUCACUGGGCUUAAAGCGCGUGUAGGUGGAUCGGCAAGUACCUUGUGAAAUCCCACGGCUCAACCGUGGAACUGCUUGGUAUACUGCUGAUCUUGGGCCAUCUAGGGGCGACUGGAACAAGCGGUGGAGCGGUGAAAUGCGUAGAUAUCGCUUGGAACGCCAAAGGUGAAAACAGGUCGCUGGGGAUGUGCCGACACUGAGACGCGAAAGCCAGGGGAGCAAACGGGAUUAGAUACCCCGGUAGUCCUGGCCCUAAACGAUGUCCACUAGAUCGUAGUCGCUCUGACGUGAUUAUGGUCGAAGCAAAAGUGCUAAGUGGACCGCCUGGGAAGUACGGUCGCAAGGCUA
RNAcentral lists this ribosomal RNA (377 nucleotides) under uncultured bacterium. RNAcentral describes it as "bacterial SSU rRNA". It matches the Rfam family "Bacterial small subunit ribosomal RNA", at positions 521 to 896 of the family's 1533-position model. The record is from RNAcentral.